CACCCCUGGAGGCUGAGCGGUGUCACAGCUUCACCUCAUCCAGGUUCAGCUGCAGCCACUUCAUUCUGCGGCUGAGUCCCUGACAAUGAGCCUGGCCGCUUUGCUGCUGGUGCUGGCUCCAGGUGCGUUGGCCCAAUACACGGUGACCCAGGAGCCGUCCCAGGUCGCUGCCAAUGAAGGAGAACCCAUCCAGCUCAACUGCUCCUACACGGGCACCGAGUACAGCGUGCAUUGGUACCGCCAGCCCCAGGGGGGCCAGCCGCGGAUCCUGGCGCUCCUGUCCUCUAGCGGCAGAGACACCCGAGAGAAUUUCACCAUGAGCCUGGACACCAAAACCAAAAGCAGCUUCUUGUACCUGAACAGCAGUCGCCUGGCAGACUCUGCUGUGUAUCUGUGCGCGCUGGAGCACAGUGCUAGGGGAGCACAGGCAGCCCGUCACAAAACCCUGGGUGGGGGCAGGGCACAUGGACCCGAGAGAGGAGACAAGGAGAAGUUAGAAUAGAACAGCGGAUAUGUGCACAGAGAGAAGAAAGGAAAGUAGAACAGAGUUGGCGAGAGGCAAUAAGAAUAGAAUGGAACAGAAGAGAACA
Non-coding RNA from Mauremys mutica (yellowpond turtle), 590 nucleotides. The record is from the annotation of a RefSeq genome assembly. Lineage: Eukaryota; Metazoa; Chordata; Testudines; Geoemydidae.